RNAcentral lists this ribosomal RNA (247 nucleotides) under uncultured archaeon. RNAcentral describes it as "partial 16S ribosomal RNA". It matches the Rfam family "Archaeal small subunit ribosomal RNA", at positions 691 to 937 of the family's 1478-position model. The record is from RNAcentral.
CCGACGGUGAGAGGCGAAAGCUGGGGGCACGAACCGGAUUAGAUACCCGGGUAGUCCCAGCCGUAAACGAUGCUCGCUAGGUGUCUGGGAUGGUGCGACCGUUUCAGGUGCCGCAGGGAAGCCGUGAAGCGAGCCACCUGGGAAGUACGGCCGCAAGGCUGAAACUUAAAGGAGUUGGCGGGGGAGCACUACAACGGGUGGAGCCUGCGGUUUAAUUGGACUCAACGCCGGAAAACUCACCUGGGGC